RNAcentral lists this transfer-messenger RNA (354 nucleotides) under Pseudofulvimonas gallinarii. RNAcentral describes it as "Standard tmRNA". It matches the Rfam family "transfer-messenger RNA". Rfam says of the family: Bacterial tmRNA, also known as 10Sa RNA or SsrA, is named for its dual tRNA and mRNA-like properties. Its role is to liberate the mRNA from a stalled ribosome. Lineage: Bacteria; Pseudomonadati; Pseudomonadota; Gammaproteobacteria; Lysobacterales; Rhodanobacteraceae. The record is from Rfam by way of RNAcentral.
GGGGGCGACCUGGCUUCGACGGGGGUUGCAACACCGCUUGGUGCAUGCCGAGGUCGUCACUCACCUCGUAAAGCAAGUGACAACACUUUAGUUGCCAACGACGACAACUACGCACUGGCCGCUUAAGGCCUAAGCCCCUGACCCACUCGUGCCUGUGCCUGUGGAGUCGGGGUCACUGUCACAGGACCGCCCGGGGCUGCCGCCUGUCGGCACCGGGUUAAACAAAGCAGGCUGGUCCGACGGUGCGCUUGGCGUGCUGUGUUGCCGGCGGAUGAGAUCAAACAGCACGACAAGCAUGUAGUACCGAGGGUCGAGCGCUUUCGGACGCGGGUUCGAUUCCCGCCGCCUCCACCA